RNAcentral lists this ribosomal RNA (252 nucleotides) under uncultured bacterium. Its description in RNAcentral is "partial 16S ribosomal RNA". It matches the Rfam family "Bacterial small subunit ribosomal RNA", at positions 524 to 776 of the family's 1533-position model. The record is from RNAcentral.
UACAGAGGGUGCAAGCGUUAAUCGGAAUUACUGGGUGUAAGGGUGCGUAGGUGGUUGAUUAAGUUAUCUGUGAAAUCCCUGGGCUUAACCUGGGCAGGUCAGAUGAUACUGAUUGACUCGAGUAUGGGAGAGGGUAGUGGAAUUUCCGGUGUAGCGGUGAAAUGCGUAGAGAUCGGAAGGAACACCAGUGGCGAAGGCGGCUACCUGGGCUGAUACUGACACUGAGGCGCGAAAGCGUGGGGAGCAAACAGG